This 306-nucleotide long non-coding RNA is filed under the name Carica papaya (papaya). Its description in RNAcentral is "long non-coding RNA (CPAP_LNC015322)". Lineage: Eukaryota; Viridiplantae; Streptophyta; Magnoliopsida; Brassicales; Caricaceae. The record is from RNAcentral.
UCUUGUAUUUCUUUCAAAAGAGUUAAUUUCGUAAUGUUGUUUGGUACUUUAAGUUAUUUGUAUAAGGAAUGUAAACCCUAAACAUUUAUUACGCUUAUGCACUUUAAUUAUCUUUUAUUUUCUUUGGAUAUUUUUGGGGUUGUUACAUAUCAUGAUUCAACUUAACCAUAGAAUAAGAGCCCAUUGGGUUUCCUGAUAUAUUCAAGGUCUUGACUUCUGCUGCUCCUCCAAUGGUAUUGCUUGCAUUGGUUUUAUCUCAAUCAAUAGCAGAGAUUUCACUAUUGCUGCUAGAUAUGACUUGGCUCU